Molecule: ribosomal RNA, 493 nt
Filed under: uncultured bacterium
Lineage: Bacteria
Description: partial 16S ribosomal RNA
Rfam family: Bacterial small subunit ribosomal RNA
Source: RNAcentral
GACGAACGCUGGCGGCGUGCCUAACACAUGCAAGUUGAGCGACGAACCAGGGCUUGCCCUGGGGCAAAGCAGCGAACGGGUGAGUAACACGUGGGUAACCUACCCCGAUAACCGGGACAACCCGAGGAAACUCGGGCUAAUACCGGAUGUGCUCACUGGACUUCGGUUCAGUGCGUAAAGGAAGCUUCGGCCUCCGUAUCGGGAGGGGCCCGCGGCCCAUUAGUUUGUUGGUGAGGUAACGGCUCACCAAGACCGCGAUGGGUAGCUGGUCUGAGAGGACGAUCAGCCAGACUGGGACUGAGACACGGCCCAGAGUCCUACGGGAGGCAGCAGUGGGGGAUCUUGCGCAAUGCGCGAGAGCGUGACGCAGCAACGCCGCGUGGGGGAAGAAGGCCUUCGGGUUGUAAACCCCUUUCAGGAGGGACGAAGGUUCGGCGGUGAAUAGCCGGCCGGACUGACGGUACCUCCACAAGAAGCCCGGGCUAACUACGUG